UUACGACCAUAUCAUGUUGAAACACCGGUUCUCGUACAAUCCCCGACGUUAAGCAACUUCGCGCCUGGUUUGUAUCAAGAUGGGUGAUAACUCGGGAAUGUCAGGUGUUGUAAG
Non-coding RNA from Acanthosepion pharaonis, 114 nucleotides. Lineage: Eukaryota; Metazoa; Mollusca; Cephalopoda; Sepiida; Sepiidae. The record is from the annotation of a GenBank genome assembly.